This 449-nucleotide ribosomal RNA is filed under the name uncultured organism. Its description in RNAcentral is "partial 16S ribosomal RNA". It matches the Rfam family "Bacterial small subunit ribosomal RNA", at positions 332 to 797 of the family's 1533-position model. The record is from RNAcentral.
UACACUCCUGCGGGAGGCAGCAGUGGGGAAUAUUGGACAAUGGGCGCAAGCCUGAUCCAGCCAUGCCGCGUGAGUGAUGAAGGCCCUAGGGUUGUAAAGCUCUUUCACCGGUGAAGAUAAUGACGGUAACCGGAGAAGAAGCCCCGGCUAACUUCGUGCCAGCAGCCGCGGUAAUACGAAGGGGGCUAGCGUUGUUCGGAUUUACUGGGCGUAAAGCGCACGUAGGCGGACUAUUAAGUCAGGGGUGAAAUCCCGGGGCUCAACCCCGGAACUGCCUUUGAUACUGGUAGUCUUGAGUUCGAGAGAGGUGAGUGGAAUUCCGAGUGUAGAGGUGAAAUUCGUAGAUAUUCGGAGGAACACCAGUGGCGAAGGCGGCUCACUGGCUCGAUACUGACGCUGAGGUGCGAAAGCGUGGGGAGCAAACAGGAUUAGAUACCCGAGUAGUCCCA